This 339-nucleotide unclassified non-coding RNA is filed under the name soil metagenome. RNAcentral's name for it is "partial contains 5.8S ribosomal RNA, internal transcribed spacer 2, and large subunit ribosomal RNA". The stretch from base 1 to 120 matches the Rfam family "5.8S ribosomal RNA", at positions 35 to 154 of the family's 154-position model. The record is from RNAcentral.
GAUGAAGAACGUAGCGAAAUGCGAUAACUAAUGUGAAUUGCAGAAUUCAGUGAAUCAUCGAGUCUUUGAACGCACAUUGCGCCCCCUGGUAUUCCGGGGGGCAUGUCUGUCCGAGCGUCAUUGCUGCCCUCAAGCACGGCUUGUGUGUUGGGCUCCGUCCCCCCGGGGACGGGCCCGAAAGGCAGCGGCGGCACCGAGUCCGGUCCUCGAGCGUAUGGGGCUUUGUCACCCGCUCUGUAGGCCCGGCCGGCGCCAGCCGACAACCCAUCAUCCUUUUCAGGUUGACCUCGGAUCAGGUAGGGAUACCCGCUGAACUUAAGCAUAUCAAUAAGCGGAGGA